Molecule: ribosomal RNA, 253 nt
Filed under: uncultured bacterium
Lineage: Bacteria
Description: partial 16S ribosomal RNA
Rfam family: Bacterial small subunit ribosomal RNA
Source: RNAcentral
UACGUAGGUGGCAAGCGUUGUCCGGAAUUACUGGGUGUAAAGGGAGCGCAGGCGGGAAGCCAAGUCAGCUGUGAAAACUACGGGCUUAACUUGUAGACUGCAGUUGAAACUGGUUUUCUUGAGUGAAGUAGAGGUUGGCGGAAGUCCGAGUGUAGCGGUGAAAUGCGUAGAUAUUCGGAGGAACACCGGUGGCGAAGGCGGCCAACUGGGCUUUAACUGACGCUGAGGCUCGAAAGUGUGGGGAGCAAACAGG